GCUUUUUGGGUACAUGACAAAUACAUGUCUCUGUAUUUCCUCAUCAGGACACAGAGAAUCAUAACUCAAUUUAUUUUCCAUUUUGAGAGUGUUAAGUAGCUGUUAUCAAUAACAUAAAUGAAGAGUACUGUAACAUAAUUCUUCCAUAGAAAGACAUUUGAAGAAGUUUCUUUCAGAUGAGAAGGCUUCCCAAUUCACAGUCUCCAGGGGUUUCUUUUUCAUGUAAAAAACUCCCCAUUUCAAUACCCAGAGCUGAGCUGUUCUAGCUUUGACUUACUGGUGUGUUAAAAAAUUUUUGGCACUUGAAAGCAGAACAUAUAAAACUGAUUGGUGUUGAAGCUUAGUUUGGGGAAGAAAAUAAUUUCAUAUCUGAUCUCUUGCUCAGCUUUUGUGCUUGGGAGGUCUCUGGCUUACUAUAAAAAUCAGAUAAAAUUGGCUGCCAAAAUCAAGAGUCAUAACAAUCCAUUUAAGAAACUUGCCAGAUUUGCUGGAAGAUCUAUCACUUGAUCCUCAGACUUUGCUCUCUCUGUCACUCAGUAACACAAUAUUGUGUUCUUUGUUGGGUUUGCUUCUUCCCAUACCCAGCAAGGCCAUUUCUGUUGUCCUGUGGGAGAGUUUAUGGCCCUUGCUUGGUUGCUGUGACUAAGGACCCUGCUUCACCCCAGCAGGCUGAACCUGCUCUUUGCCAUGUCACUUCACCAUCAAAUUGCUGGAUGUGUUCUCUGGUACAGCAGGCAGAGCUGAGCCCUGCUGCAAACCCAUCACCUGAGCCAGAGCUGCCUCCAGAGAUGGAUGUGCAUGGAGCUUCAGAGCUGCUUUAAUCAGAGAGUUUCAUAUUCAUGAGCCCCUGAGAAAAGGGAGCUGGGUAAUUAAGAUCAUUCAUAAUGCUGGAGGAUAUUCAGGCUAAGAAAAGGAAGUGUGAAAAUCUCCAGGAAGUUUCUGUGUCCAAUGGCCUGUACCAGGUUCCUGAAUCAGUCACCAGUUCAAGUGUUUUGUGAAAGUGGAAAGAAUAUUUUCAGGUUAAUCACCUGGAAUGAGCUCUCUAGGUGGGGCUGAGGGAUUUGUUUGGGGUUUAGAUUUACACAGAUGCUCCUGCACUUGAUUUUGUAUUGAAAUACAAAUAGUUGCUUCCUAAAUUUGAUUUUGAUGUACUGUUCUUCUUUCCAGUCUCAUAGUUUCUGUCCUCAAAAGCACUCAUUGGCAGUGUCAGGGGAGGCUCACUGGAGGUCUCUUUGAUAUUGUACUUUAGAAAAUGUCACUUCAUUUUUUGCUGUGUUCAAUUCUACACCUGGGACAAACACUGUUCCAGGUUACACUGGGAGACCUGUAAAGCUGGUAUAAUUGGAUAUGGAAGUGCUUAAAUCUCUGCACAGUGAGGCAGAGAGAAAAACACUGUUCUAAAGCUUUUGCAUGAGUGUCCAGUUUGAGCUUUAGGUGUCUGCUUUGGGAUCAGGUGAGAUUAAAGAGCUGCUUUGGUGAGAGCUCUCCAAGCUCAGUUGAAUGAUUUCCCUGGCUCUGCACUAGGCUCCAAUCAGAGUUCAGUCUUAUUCUGCAGCAAACCCCCACCCCGAACACCAGGAAAACUUCAAUUUCACAAAAAUAAUGAUAUUGUAUCUGAUUCUCUUGUCAAGUUCUAAACAAGAUUGUUCUUGAUUUGCAAAACUUACCAGGAUGCUGAUAAAUGGCUUGUCACACCUUAUUGUUCAUGUAUUCACUGCUUGGAAAAGGAAUCCAAUGUUUAACUCACAGAGAAGUCAGAUUUUUAAGGAGGCCUGAGAUUCUCUGAAGGAAGACACUGUUGUAUAGGAUUGUCUGAAUAAACUGCAUGUUUCAUUCAGAAAAUUUACAGCAGCUGAGAAAGAAUAAAUGUCUGUGACACACCGAAACACAGAAAAUUACAUUUUAAGAAAAAUAAGUUCUAAACAUUUUUCUUGAUGUCUAAAUCCAGUGAUGGUUUAACAACCAAGUCUGUUCUCAGGCCUAGAGAAAUACCUUUGCAAAAUCUUAGGGUUAGAUGCUUUGCAAAGCAUAAAUGAGCAAACAAGAAUGAUGGUGUGAAAGACAUUAUUCAGUAAUUAAGGUUUUAAGUGAAAGCUAAAAUAUUUUGCCAUAGAAUUUUCCAUGAAUUUUAAUGGAAGAUGCAUGGUUAAAUCACCUAUACUUCAACCUUUAUUUUCAUUAGGAGCUCUACCACUGCCUUCUCUCCCUUCACUGAGGUUUUUGUAGUUUUCUUUUUCCUUUUUCUGGUCCAGACAAAUACCACAGUGAUGAAUAUGUUAGAAUAGCUUCUAAAAUAAUUGAAUAUCCAUAGUUUUUCACUAUUUCCCCCUCCCUGUACUUUACCUGCUCUUACAAACAGAUAACCAAUAGCCAAAACAGUUCUCUUUUUUAAAUGAAGACUCCAGGCAAAAACUGUCCAGGAGAUACCAAACAGUUCAAAUAAUUUAUUUAACAGUAACUCAUUUGUUUGUAUUCUUAUCUGUCAGUUGUGGAAAGAGGGAGAAACACCAAAGUACUAUGGCAUAGUAUUUUUUUUUAAUGACAUUUGUGCUUUAACCUCAAAUGGGAGAAUUUCCCAUCUGGACAAAUAUCCUGUCCACUUGGACCUACCCCAGUAUGAGGCACUCUACGUUUCUGUUAGAAGUUUUAACAUUUUGGGGUUUGUUCUAAAGAAAUGCUUUAGUGUGUUUAACUUCUUAAGCCAUUUCAGGACAAAGAAACAACUUCAAACUGUCCAAGCCUUUUCUAAUAUUAGAUUUUAUAGGUAGGUGGAGCAGUACCUUUUUGUUUUUGAAAGCAAUAUCUUCUAAAAUGCAUUUUUAAGUAGUUUUCUAAACAUUAAACUUAUAAUUGCCAAGUUAUAUGAAGAUUUUAUAACAAUAAACUUAUAAUUGCCAGAUUAUAUGAACAUUAUAUAACAUUAAACUGCUAAUUGCCAAAUAAUAUGAAGUGCAGCUAGGAACUGUUUGCUUAAAACAAAUAACAAGCUAUUAGCAAACAGUAUCUAGCUGUACUUCAUAUAAUUUUGGUGAAUAGAGAGAGAGAACUAAGAUUUUAUCUGAAGAGUUGUGCUUUGGAAGGAGAUCAAAAAGAGUUCAUCUUCUGACUGCUAUUUUGUUUUGCUUCAAUGUUUUUUUUCAGGAGGAUCUGGAUUAUUACAUCUGAAUAGAAAAAAUCUUUUCCCAAUGAUCUGAAAGCAAAAUGUAAGACAAACUGACGUUGUAUGAAAAAUUACUCCAUAACUUCUGAAAAGGAAGAAGAAAGGAAUACCCUCAAACCAAACAAUCAAAGAAACCCAUUUUCUUUUGGGGUUUUAUUCUUUCCCUUGGUGAUGACAUUCAGUGGUUGAUUAAUGUUGCGUCAGGCCACGUUUUGUUUAGCUACAUAAAAAUCUUUCUGCAAACUCUCCCCGUGCCUUUGUGGAUGGUGACAAGAGCUUGGAUUCUCCUGGUGAUGAACAGCCCUGGGGCUGUUCUCAGUGCGCUGAGUGAUGCUCUGAUUGUCCAUUCUCCUCAGGCAACAUCAGAAGCGAGUGCUUUCUGUGGAGUGUUUCUUGUGCCAGAGGAUGUGCAUCACUCUCCCAGCAGCUUGGCUUCUCUCCUUCAUUGAGAUUCAUUUGGAUCUGCAAGCUGUCCCCUGAGCAUGAACACUCUGUGCAACUGGAGAUGCCUCGUUCCCUUCUAAUCUCUCUCCCCUUUUAUUAUUAUGCUGUUUGUACAAGGCAGGGUUCAUCUUCAGAAUUUUAUAGAUCAGUCUCCAGAAAUUACAUUUGAAAGUUUAUUGAUCUGAUGGAUUUUGAAUACUCUAGAUUUUUCGCCUUCAUUUUUAUUGUGUGUUACAAAAUCACCCAAAUUUGCUUCAGAGAGUGGUGCUGCUUAAUUUCAUUGUUAAAUAAAAUUCAAUUCUGGUUUUUUUCUUAAAGAUAAACAGGUUAGUGCAUAAUUUUCUGCUUAUUUUCUCUGUUUUUCUAUCUCUUUUGCAGUACCCGUGUAAAUAGAGAUUCAAAACUUGAAAAAAGAAUUAAGUGCCUUCUACAGCAGAAUGACAGAACAGAAAAGCAUUCACAGAAUCACAGAACAGUUCAGGUUGGAAGGCACUUCUGGACAUCAUCCAGUUCACCCUCUCUGUUCAAGAUAAGGCCAGCUUACAGGAUGUUGCUCAGGACUGUCUCCAGUAGAGUUUAGUUUAUUAAAGCAAAGAGACUGAACAACCUCUCUGGGUAACCAGUGAAUGAUUUGUCUCACAGCAAAAAUCUUUUAACUUCUAUUUAAAUGGAAUUUUCUGUGUUAGAGAGUCAGACCAGUCUUCUUUAUGGUCUUCCAUGGGGUAAGAUUCUCCCCUAUUGGCAAUCUCCUCCUGAGACAUUCUCUUUUUUUCCAGGCUGAACAGUUCCAGUUAUCUCGUCCUUUUUGUAUGACAGAUGCUCCAUUUUUUUUCAUGGAGUUUGAUGAACUCAGUGCCUCCCUUGUGCCAAUAAAGCCAGAACUGAGUACAGCAGUGCAGACGUGGCCUCACCACUCCUCAGUGGAGGGGAAGGAUCACUUCUCUCCAUCUUGUUGGCAACACUCUUGCUGAUGUAACCAGGGGAUUAUUGGCUCUUUUUGCUGCCUCAUGAUCAGCUUUGUAUUUUGAUUUUCCUCACCUGAUACCUGCACACUCAAACACUGUCUUUAUUCCAUCUGAGUCACACAUCCCUGCUUCUUCCUCUUGCAUGUUUUAUUUUCAUGUUGAAGUCAUCAGCAUCAUCUUGUUCAUCCAUGCAGGAUCCAUGCUUGAUUGUUCUCUUGUCAGGACAGACCAAGGCUUGGAGGAGUUAGUCCCAGGUCUCCCUUCUCCCCAGGAUUGUCUGCCAUGGGAUUCUCUCAGGCAGAUCCUGGAGGAAAAUUCUGUGUUCAUCCGAAGUCCUGUUUUUUGCCUUGUUUCCUUCUUACAGGAUCUUGAACUCCACCAUCCUGUGGUCACUGCAACAAAGUUGACCCUGACCUUCACACCCCUCUCCAGUUCUUCCUUGUUGCUAAGUGUGGGUCCAGUAGACCUUCUUCCCUUGUUGAUUCCUGGACGUUCAGGAAAGGAGGCUGACUUGCACUUGUCUAUUGUGGUAAUUUUCUUUAAUUUUUGUGACGUCUCUGCAUUUACACUCCCAACCCUACACCUCAGCUGAUCAGAACUAGCUGUGGUAAGAGCUGUUCUGGCCUGCUGCCCAAAAGUAAUAUUCCAUCAUUUCCUGAUGGGGGAAAAAAGUCCUGUAGACUUGUGGCCAUUUGUCCUCACAUCUAUUUGCAGCUCCUUAUUUCCCUUGAGAAGCAUCCAAGACCAUUUAGAAGUUGAAUUUUCCGAUGUCCUCACUGAUCUCCAACCUCCUCCCCCUCUGUUUCUUGGAAGGACCAUCUUAUGAGGACAAAUCUCCCACGUUGUUUAAUUCCAUUAUUCACUACUCAGUGUCCACUUUAUUCCUACUCAUCACACAGCAUUCUUUUGCUCCUCCUUUUUCUGAACUUACUUGGAGAUCUGCCCCCUGUAACACUUACAGAUGCAUAAACACACAAAAAGUGGGCACUUUGUCAUGUUACAGAUUUUAUUUAGCAGCAGAUUCGGCUAUCAGAUUAUCAUUAGGUAAUGUGCUGACAUACAUACCCCAGAGGGAGAUGAUUGUGAGCUGCUGGAGCAAAAACGAUCAAGACGAGUCUGCCAAAUAUAUGGUAGGUAUUAAUCACCAACAAACACAGCGUUUUUUUCCUCAGAAAAGCACUAAACUACAAAGCUUGUCCUUUUGUCCACAGAAUUACUGUAGCAUGCAGGGAACUGGGGUUGUUUUGACAGAACCAACUUUGACAGCAUAUUGAUCUAAUAAUUUCAGUUGCUUUCUAGCAUUCCAAUGCUUUCUUUUCUCCUCAGAAUUCCCCUUUAACACAUAAAGAUUUUGAUAAACUUGGACUGAAUGCACAUGCAACUUGUGUUAUCUCUAUUAAGAGAUUUCAAAUACAGUUUUUAUCCUCUUCCACUGAUAUUUCCCAUUAUUGAAAAGACCAAAACCUUCUAGACCUUUUCAAUAUUUGGGUACCUUCUUAUGCUUGGAAUUGAACUUAACUUACAUCUUUGUGUUCUAUGUCCACUACAGCAUACAGAGAAUAAAAGUCAAUAUGCUUGUAUGAAGUACUUGAACCUCAAUCAGGACUUGGUGUCUUGAGCCUAGUGAGACUGAGAUCCCAAAAUUAUGGAUAUUAGUAAACUGAGGUUCUACAAGCAUGACUUUAAACUCUUUGUAAAACAGUUAGAGACAUUAGUGUGUGACUCUGAAAUACAAAUAAAUAUGUUAAGAAGAAAAAGAUGGAAUAGAGAAUUAAGACUGUUUUUACAUAAUCUUACACAAAUUUUUCACAAAGUAGAUCAAACCAAUCCUUGAAUGCAGUAGGUAACUCAGUUUUCUACUUCUCAUUCUACCCAUUUUGCCCUCACUACAGAAAUCAGUCUCUUUCUUUAAACACACAAAGUGCUGCACAUGAUGUCAAGGAGGGAGUCUCAUCAUGCUGAUCCUGGUCUCAGGGGCAGAUCACAGUGCAAGUGGUGGCACCAAUAGAGCACAAAGGAAAAAGGGUUUUUUGUUGUUAUCUACUACCCUUAAAUUUGCAACAUGUUCAAAUAAAUAUUUGUGUGGCUAACAGAUCAUUUAAUACUAUGCUAUGGGCACCUCUUAAGACUGAAAACUUGUGAUAUUAACAAUUUGCCACUAGGAUUUUGCAGAGUCACUAAAUAGCACAAUUAAAUUUACAGUGUUCCUUCAAGGUUCAUUUCCUUCCAGGAGAAGAUCAGCUGUCAAACAGAACAAGAGUUGUUCUAGAGAAAUAAUAUAAUCAAUUAGUGACUAGGUGAGCACUUUUAGCCAAAUGACUUUAUCCAUUAAUGUAUUUUUCCCAGCACAGUUGAAGAAUGUUGCUUUAUCAGAAUAGUUAAUGAGGUUAGACUUGAGACCCCAGAUGAAUUUCUAGGUUCAUUGAAGGGAACAUAAACCUAGAAAUUUUGGGAGUUUUGAUCAAGAAAGAGAGUCAGUUCCUCCAGUAAAUGACUCUUUGUUGAUAAUAUCUUUUUCUACCUAAAAACUGCUGAACUAUUAGCAUAAUAUCAUUAAAGCUCUCUUAGUUCUCAUGUAUCAGUCAGCAUAAAGAUUUCAUGUUGUUCUGCUGACAGCAUUGCCAUGACUGAUAAAACACAGAAGUAUGUUAAAGACAUUACUGUUUCCAUUUAGGUUUGCAAGCACAUCUGAAAAGAGAAAAGGAAAGGAUGGCUAGUUAAAACUAUUUUUCCUUCCUCAUAAAAAAUACAGUAGGUGAAUCCAAUGUUGAAAUAGAUAAAAGUAUUAGUGUAUUCUAGCCAUGAGCACAAGGUACCACUAAGCAUUGCCUUCUACAAAACUUCUUGUGUAGGAGACCUCCUGAGAAUGAAUUGGGGAGUGUGUGAUAACAUUGAAAUAAAAGGAUUUGUGUGGCAGCAGCUGGAGGCAGAGACUGAUUUGUUCUCCUGCCCAGUGGAUAUAUACUGACUUCACUGGGCUUACUCAGUACCUGGGGGCCAAAUCCUGUUUUUGUUGAAACCAGUGACAGAACUCCCAAUGACCUCAACAGAACCUGGAAUUAAUGUUCUGUUUCUCUGUGAAUUAUGU
This is a long non-coding RNA of Prinia subflava (tawny-flanked prinia), 7657 nucleotides long. RefSeq lists it as uncharacterized. The transcript has 3 exons. Lineage: Eukaryota; Metazoa; Chordata; Aves; Passeriformes; Cisticolidae. The record is from RefSeq and is a predicted model, not a curated record.